This 253-nucleotide ribosomal RNA is filed under the name uncultured bacterium. RNAcentral describes it as "partial 16S ribosomal RNA". It matches the Rfam family "Bacterial small subunit ribosomal RNA", at positions 524 to 776 of the family's 1533-position model. The record is from RNAcentral.
UACGAAGGGGGCUAGCGUUGCUCGGAAUCACUGGGCGUAAAGGGUGCGUAGGCGGGUCUUUAAGUCAGGGGUGAAAUCCCGGAGCUCAACUCCGGAACUGCCUUUGAUACUGGAGAUCUUGAGUCCGGGAGAGGUGAGUGGAACUGCGAGUGUAGAGGUGAAAUUCGUAGAUAUUCGCAAGAACACCAGUGGCGAAGGCGGCUCACUGGCCCGGUACUGACGCUGAGGUGCGAAAGCGUGGGGAGCAAACAGG